GACGAACGCUGGCGGCGUGCUUAACACAUGCAAGUCGAACGGAAAGGCCCUGCUUUUGUGGGGUGCUCGAGUGGCGAACGGGUGAGUAACACGUGAGUAACCUGCCCUUGACUUUGGGAUAACUUCAGGAAACUGGGGCUAAUACAGGAUAGGAGCUCCUGCUGCAUGGGGGGGGUUGGAAAGUUUCGGCGGUGGGGGAUGGACUCGCGGCUUAUGAGCUUGUUUGUGGGGUAGUGGCUUACCAAGGCUGUGACGGGUAGCCGGCCUGGGAGGGGGACCGGCCACAUGGGGACUGCGAUACGCACCAGACGCCUACGGGAGGCAGCAGUGGGGAAUAUGGCGCAAUGGGCGGAAGCCUGAUGCAGCAACGCCGCGUGCGGGAUGCCGGCCUUCGGGUUGUAAACCGCUUUCGCCUGUGACGAAGCGUGAGUGACGGUAAUGGGUAAAGAAGCACCGGCUAACUACGUG
Molecule: ribosomal RNA, 468 nt
Filed under: uncultured bacterium
Lineage: Bacteria
Description: partial 16S ribosomal RNA
Rfam family: Bacterial small subunit ribosomal RNA
Source: RNAcentral